CUGUCAUCUAGCAGAUCUCAUCAGGAAAAUUCCAGAUGUCCAGGCAGCCAGGCUUCAGUGGAAGUCUGUGACCAGUUUACAGUUCUGAAUCACUCUCCUUCUGGCUGCCAAAGAGCUCCCUCAACCCAGUAUCAUGUGAUGUCUGCUCCUGACCCAACCGCAAGUCGGUGUUGGACCUCUAGGUGAACAGGGUCAUAUCUCCCCACGUAAAUCUGAGUUCUGAUCCCUACUGUAGUGGGGAGGCCCUUCCAGAACCCUGCUUAUCUUCCCUUGGCUCUGGGUUAGUAGCCUGGAAAAGUCUUCCCCUCCUGGGUACUCAGGUCUUAGAGGAGCACUCUAGUUUAUGGAGAUAUCAAAGGCCAAGAAUCUGGACAAGUUACUGCCCUAGGAAUAGCUACCUGCGGGGAAAUACCCUGGAAGAAACUUGCCCUGGAAAAGUGACUCAGAAGGGGAUGCAGGGGUCUUUUCAACAAGGGUAAAUGUCUCAUCAGAGGAAAUGGGACAAACAAACCAUCCUGGGCCUGAGGAACUCCAGACACGCGGUAAACGCGAGACAGCACGAGAGCCAGAUAAUUGUAGUGCCCGGCUAGGCAGUCCCGAAGCUGAGCACAUCGCGCAAGAUCAAAGAGCGCAAGAUCGGCACAAGCUCCACCCCGGAAAGGCCCAUCGGCACACAAACCCACCUUGCUCAGCUGCCUAGCUCCGCCCCGCCCCUCCUCGCCCCGCCCGCCCCGCCCCAUCGCAGCUCCACUCCGCCCCGACUCCGUACCGCCCUGUCCCAG
RNAcentral lists this long non-coding RNA (782 nucleotides) under Cricetulus griseus (Chinese hamster). RNAcentral's name for it is "lncRNA (ENSCGRG00015030936.1)". The record is from RNAcentral. Lineage: Eukaryota; Metazoa; Chordata; Mammalia; Rodentia; Cricetidae.